UACAAUAAUUAAGGUAUGGUCGAAUGUAGAUUCUUUUAUUUCUGUUUUUGUGAAAAUAAGGUUAGUAUAAAAUGUGAGUUGCUGGAUGUUCAUGUUCAGAAUAUCUCAUUCAAAACUUUUAUAGAAAGAGACAGCUUUACCUUUACUUGUAAGUAAGUGAAUGAUUCUUCACAUCCUUACAUUUACAGUCUUAAUAAAUACUCAUUCAGUGCUCCAGAAUUCGUCCAGAGAAUUCAUAGUUGUUAAUAGCUUGUGAAGAAAGCAACUGGGUUUCUGCAGUUACAAAAUAAAAUAUCUGCAAUGUUUCAGUAUGGUGGAAGUGUUGACAUGUGACAGACAGCCUUAACCACAACAGAAUAUUCUGUUUUGUUCGCUCCAAAUGUCAUCUGGCUACUGUUUCUUAACAUUAUUUGUAUGUAAUUUGUGUCAUGUAAAAUACAGAGCAUAAUUAGUCUACUUAGUGAUGUUGAUUAACUCAACACAGUUGAAGGUUGAGAAAUGGUUAAAACUGAUGCAAACUUUUGGAAAAUUGUUGUUUUAAUAUUUAUGUUUAAAGAUGUUCAGUAAAGUUUGGUUGUAGAGUGCUGUUCAUUGAUAGAAACAAGAACUUGAUGUCUGGAUUCCUUUAAAUAUUUCCGAGACUCCCGUGUCAUAGAUUUAGGGCACGUAAAAGAAACUUACGAGCGUGAAAGAAGAUGUUUCAUAAGCAAAAUUCAGUGGCCAUUUCUCACCAAAGUCACUCCUGAUUCAUUACUAGAAGGCUCUAGUAGUCAAAUCAGGAUUAAAUAGAAAGUGUGCAGCGGUGGUGGGCUUGUAACUCAAUACUCAUAAAUGCCCACUUCAACGACAAAGAAACCUCCCAAUUGGGAGGAGGCCGAGGUUCGGCUUCGGGUUGUUGCGCCUUAGAAGAAGAAGAAGAAGCAGCAGUAAUUAGAAUUAAUAAUUAUAUACCUUACAAAAUUCUUUCUGUGCAUAUUGUCUGGUAGUACAAAAUUAGUGUAUAUGAAAUUUGUAACUGUAGCUCCAAAAUGUCACUCCAUAUCUAUAUUUAUAAUGUUCCACAUAAACAAUGUUUCUUGCGUGGUCUGUCUCCAUACCAAAUUACAUGUGCAUAGAUGAAGUGGUUCAUUAGUUACUGCCAUCAGACGUGGCAUGUUAAGAUAUAUUCUACAACAUGACCUCAGUAGCAUUUGCUUGCGUUUUGAAGAUCUUUGAGAACAAAAUUUUAUUAUUUCAUACUAUUUGGCACUGGUGCCACCUGCAUCUAAGAGUUUGGCACUGUUGCCAUUUAGACAUUGUGGAUGACAUGAAAAAUUAAAAAGUGUGAAGAUCGCAUGGCUGCUUGUGACAUGAUGUUUAUAAGAAGUUUUGUGAAAGUUGGUCAAUAGAUUUGAAAGUAAUUAAGGAGAAUAACCACAUGGAUAGACAGACACUGUAUUGUGAUACCAUGUCUGUGUUUCCCUGUAAUAAGGAAAGUAGGCUAAAACAAAACUGAUAACUUGCUUGAGUCUAGAAACGUGCUUCUUAUUUGUGUGUUGUGUGUUACCUGAAGCUGUACCACUACACUUUGUAAUUUUGAACACUGAUCUGAUUUGAAUAAUAUAUAUGUGUUUUACAGGUUUUCACCAUUCAUCAGCUGCCUGAGUAGAUCUGACACUGGUGAGUAAAAUACAUUAUAGUACCUGACCGACAUUUAUUAUCAUAAGCAGUUCUUAAAAUGAUGUUAUAUAUUAACACGACUAUAAGUUAGAAAUACUGUUAAUUUUAUAUUCUGUCAACAGUUUCAUUAAGUUGAAAGUGCUCACAACAAUAGUUACCAACAAAUACUGAUUGCAUUAACAAGAUGUUUUCUGAUGUUAUCAGGUAACAAUAUUUUUCAUCACAGAGGAUGACACACUAUUACAAAAUACAGUGUGUCCACAAAGUCCCUUCGGGGUUUUGAAAAAUUGUGGUGCGCAAACAAAUUGAGCUAACCAUGUGCGAUUUGCGGAAGAUUACAGUUCUGUGGAGCAUGUCCGCUGGAAUAGCCGAGAUCGCAUUCCUGAUACGGGGCUUCAGGUCAUCAAGUCUGUUAACUGGUGUUCAGAACACAUUGCUCUUGACAUAACCCCACAGGAAAAAAUCCAGUGGUGUUAUGUCUGGUGAACGUUUAGGCCAAGGCAUUGGACCAUCUCUGCCGAUCCAUCUUCCUGGAAACAUGAACACUUAAUCAUGCAGCAAGUGCAAUGUUGAAAAUAAACACUUUUAUUUAAAACACUGAAAUUUUGGGACCUUUCAAACCAGUAUGAUUGAAAAGCUUGACUUUUAGAUAUUUUUCAGUUAUAAAUGCUGUAAUUAAUAGUAUGAUUAACACUAAAAAGCAAAGGCUGCGAUAUAUCGGCGCUGGCUAGUUUUGCUGAUGUAAUUACAUAUAAGGCUCGAAGGUGGAAGCACAAGGCUGCAUCAGCUACUUUAAACUUCAGUUCAUAUUUUCAUCAAGAGGUGGCUCCUAUAGACCGACAUGAAGACGGAAAAUUACAUUGUGGAAUGCGUCAAAAACAUAUAAGAUCCCAUAUAGAACCCUGAAGAGACGCAUUGAAUCUGAAAAUAUCGUGAAAGAGUUUCCUGGCCCUGCAGGUUCGUUUUAUAUUUUUACGUCAUAAAUUUCUUUGCUCAGUUUACUUAAUAAAGGUUAGUUCCUAUAUUAUUUCAGUUUCACAUUGAACUUAAAACGAUUUCAGGCUGCCUUAGAAGAGAACAAGAAAAAACCCUUGUAAAAUAUAUGCAGCGUCUAGAGGAAGCUGGUUUUCCACUAACAAGCAAAUUCCUACGGCAGAUAGCUUACAGUUUUGCUGAGAAAAAUUGCAUUCCUCAUCGGUUCAACAGAGUCACAAGGCUUACUGGUUAUGACUCCAUGCAGUUAUUUUUUGAAAUGUCAUCCUGAACUUGGAAUGAGGAAGGCACAAGGUGUGUCUAUCGCACGUGGGUUGGGCAUGUGCCGGCAAGAAGUAGACAACUACGUACACUGCUUUUACAGACUUGCCAGGAAAACGGCUUCCUAGCAAACCCCAGUAAGAUCCACAGUAUGGACGAAUGCGGCCUGCAAAUGAACAAUGAACCGGGCAAAGUCGUUGCUUCAAUUCGUCAACUUCCUCUGCUGAUGAAUUCUUACCUAAAAGCGACAGCGACGACAAUCUGGAUGAUGAUCAUUUCUGUGUUGUUUGUAAUGGGUACUUUUACGCAAAAUUGGCCCUAAAUGUGACCGAAUUCAGUGUGUCAGCUGUGGCAAAAACUGUAGUUCUGACAGUUUGCAUUGUACCAAAUGUUAAAUGUCUGUCUGUUCUCUUUGCAAGCAGAGGCAUCUUCCCCAUACAGUCGGGGAAACAUGCCAGUUGUGCAAGGUUGUAUUCGAAGAAUUGUUUUGCCUCUUUAUAUAUCUCAUUUUUAAUUGUAAUUAAUUACUUGAAUACAAAAAGGUUUGAAAAAUAUGUCAAUUUUUGGUACUUCUUACUCACCCAUUUUCUAGUUAUCCCCGCGAAAUGCCUUAACUGUUGCGUUUUCCCUCACAUUGCCCUAUUUUUUUCACUGUUUUGAUUUGUGGCACUUCUGGUAUAUAAGUAAUCAAUUGCCAUGUGUGAAUUUAAUUCACUGAAGUUAAUGUGAUGGGUUAAAUGAAAUUCCUCCAUUUGUUUAAUACAAUACAGACUCAUUCCAUGUCAAAUCAUCCAUCAAUGAGUGAUUGCUUGCCCAUCACAAAUAUCGCUAAAUUAUAAAUGUUUUCUUUUCUGAAUUAAGCUCAGUGUUACACGUCUAACUUCCAGAAUAAAAUCUAUGUUUGUUUUUUCUCACAGUUACAAUUUACUAAAACAACAUACUGUGGUGGAAAACGUAUACGAAUAAAACUUAACCUGCAAAUAAUUCGAAUAUAAUUUCUUAAAUAAUUCUACAUAGCUAUACAAAUCUGUUUAAGUUUUUCAGCUGAGCAGUGCCUCAUGGCUCGGAGUGACCCAUCUCCGCGAUCUUUGGAGCCCCAGGCUUCGAUGCCCUUAUGAGGCAGUGCGGCGGGCAGUCUGUGUGUGUCCGUUACGCAGGAUGCUUCACCGGAGAGAACCUAAAGACAAGUUUUCCGGCCUGUUCAGAGCUAGGUCACAAUGCCAAA
Molecule: RNA transcript, 4138 nt
Organism: Zootermopsis nevadensis
Lineage: Eukaryota; Metazoa; Arthropoda; Insecta; Blattodea; Termopsidae
Source: RefSeq, a predicted model, not a curated record